UCACAUGCUCAACUCUGUAAAGCAAGAAGAGGUGAAGAAGAGGUGAAGCCCUCUUCUUCCUUUACAGAGUUGAAUAUGUAG
This 81-nucleotide microRNA precursor is filed under the name Chlorocebus sabaeus (green monkey). RNAcentral's name for it is "miRNA (ENSCSAG00000027075.1)". Lineage: Eukaryota; Metazoa; Chordata; Mammalia; Primates; Cercopithecidae. The record is from RNAcentral.